This 1429-nucleotide ribosomal RNA is filed under the name Streptococcus thermophilus. RNAcentral's name for it is "16S ribosomal RNA". It matches the Rfam family "Bacterial small subunit ribosomal RNA". Lineage: Bacteria; Bacillati; Bacillota; Bacilli; Lactobacillales; Streptococcaceae. The record is from RNAcentral.
GGCGGCGUGCCUAAUACAUGAAGUUAGAACGCUGAAGAGAGGAGCUUGCUCUUCUUGGAUGAGUUGCGAACGGGUGAGUAACGCGUAGGUAACCUGCCUUGUAGCGGGGGAUAACUAUUGGAAACGAUAGCUAAUACCGCAUAACAAUGGAUGACACAUGUCAUUUAUUUGAAAGGGGCAAUUGCUCCACUACAAGAUGGACCUGCGUUGUAUUAGCUAGUAGGUGAGGUAAUGGCUCACCUAGGCGACGAUACAUAGCCGACCUGAGAGGGUGAUCGGCCACACUGGGACUGAGACACGGCCCAGACUCCUACGGGAGGCAGCAGUAGGGAAUCUUCGGCAAUGGGGGCAACCCUGACCGAGCAACGCCGCGUGAGUGAAGAAGGUUUUCGGAUCGUAAAGCUCUGUUGUAAGUCAAGAACGGGUGUGAGAGUGGAAAGUUCACACUGUGACGGUAGCUUACCAGAAAGGGACGGCUAACUACGUGCCAGCAGCCGCGGUAAUACGUAGGUCCCGAGCGUUGUCCGGAUUUAUUGGGCGUAAAGCGAGCGCAGGCGGUUUGAUAAGUCUGAAGUUAAAGGCUGUGGCUCAACCAUAGUUCGCUUUGGAAACUGUCAAACUUGAGUGCAGAAGGGGAGAGUGGAAUUCCAUGUGUAGCGGUGAAAUGCGUAGAUAUAUGGAGGAACACCGGUGGCGAAAGCGGCUCUCUGGUCUGUAACUGACGCUGAGGCUCGAAAGCGUGGGGAGCGAACAGGAUUAGAUACCCUGGUAGUCCACGCCGUAAACGAUGAGUGCUAGGUGUUGGAUCCUUUCCGGGAUUCAGUGCCGCAGCUAACGCAUUAAGCACUCCGCCUGGGGAGUACGACCGCAAGGUUGAAACUCAAAGGAAUUGACGGGGGCCCGCACAAGCGGUGGAGCAUGUGGUUUAAUUCGAAGCAACGCGAAGAACCUUACCAGGUCUUGACAUCCCGAUGCUAUUUCUAGAGAUAGAAAGUUACUUCGGUACAUCGGUGACAGGUGGUGCAUGGUUGUCGUCAGCUCGUGUCGUGAGAUGUUGGGUUAAGUCCCGCAACGAGCGCAACCCCUAUUGUUAGUUGCCAUCAUUCAGUUGGGCACUCUAGCGAGACUGCCGGUAAUAAACCGGAGGAAGGUGGGGAUGACGUCAAAUCAUCAUGCCCCUUAUGACCUGGCUACACACGUGCUACAAUGGUUGGUACAACGAGUUGCGAGUCGGUGACGGCGAGCUAAUCUCUUAAAGCCAAUCUCAGUUCGGAUUGUAGGCUGCAACUCGCCUACAUGAAGUCGGAAUCGCUAGUAAUCGCGGAUCAGCACGCCGCGGUGAAUACGUUCCCGGGCCUUGUACACACCGCCCGUCACACCACGAGAGUUUGUAACACCCGAGAANNGGUGAGGUAACNUUUUGGAGCCA